Molecule: RNA transcript, 3293 nt
Organism: Planococcus citri (citrus mealybug)
Lineage: Eukaryota; Metazoa; Arthropoda; Insecta; Hemiptera; Pseudococcidae
Exons: 7
Source: RefSeq, a predicted model, not a curated record
CACUUUCUCCUCCUUCUCUCUAUCUCUUUUUUUUUACAUUUUAAAACCAUACAGUAUAUUUUUUUCAUUUUCAGUUAUACUUCAUCUUUGUAAGUAAGUGAGAAGAACAAUCUUCAGUAAAAGGUUUACCAAUAACGUUCUGUAAGUGUGCUUGUUGAAAGUGGAGAUUUUGCUGUUAACAAAUAUCUCGUAGUUCAUAUUAGUAACAUUUUCCUCGUAUCAUAUACCUAUUGCACCCAGAUUUCUUAAUUUUUUUUUGUUCUCAAUUUUAACUUACGAGAUUUCAUUUGAGUUUUUUCGCCAUUUGAAAAUCCAAACAUGAUUGUGUUGUUGGUGUUAUCAAUGUUUGCAGCCUCAUCUUUGGCCUACUUCCAAGGUUUCAAAUUUUCUUUCACAAACGACACUGAGUUGGAAGUUUUUCGACGUCAAACAUUAAUAAUGAAUUGUUCGAGUUAUGAAGAAAUAGAGUGGCUGAUUCCAGACGAUAGCAAUGCAUUGAUAAAACACGUUUCAAAUUAUGAGGCCAGUAUUUUUAUCAACCAGACCACGAAAUGUGAUAGUGGUGACUACGUAUGUAGAUCCAAAUACAACUGGAAUCAAUUCGCUCGGAUACACAUCAAUGUUAGAGGUAGGUACUAGGUACCUAAUACAAUUUUUACCCUUGCAACUCUAUCAACGUCAGCAGUGCUAAAAAUCUCCAUGCUCGUGAAAAAUUAUUGAAGAAUUGUGUAGAUAGUUGAUCCAUUUUCGUCUUGAAUCCGAAAUUGCUGAACGUGAUUGAUGAAUAGGUUGGUAGGGUAGGUACUAGGUACAAUAAAAAAACCUAAAAAAACAAAAAAGCAGUAGAAAUUUGAAAAAUAGUCAAGCUCGUGAAAAACCAUUGAAAAAUCAAGUACCUAUUUACACUUUUAAGCAUACUUAUAUACGUAGCUGCUCGUGUACAUAUUUUGUGUAAACUAAUAUGAUUGGUAGCACUGCUUAUGGACAGAUCGUUGCUUGCUGUGCGUCAGUACUUAAGUACACAUUAAUUGCGCCUUUCACUUUUUUUUUUUUUUUUUUUAACGUUACUUUGCAUUUACUGUGUUUUUUUUGUAAGCAUUGAAAUUGAGGUUUUGUAUUUGAUCACUUUAACAAACUGUGCUUUUGUAAUUUUGCAUUUGUUGCAUCUUGUUUUCGCACGUUUUAAAAUUGGGAUUUUGAACUUGAUUACUUAAACAGUGCUUUCGUGAUUUUGCUGUCGUUGCAUCUUUUCAAUACCUACUUGAAGUGUGUUUACAUGUAAUUCACUGUUGUUGCCUUUUGUACCACUUGUACCUAAUCGUGUUUUUAAAUUGAUUAACAUUGAAUGUGUGUUUGUGAUCAUCGUGUUCGUGAAUCUUUUCACUCCUAGUACGAUUUCCAGCUUAAGAAUGCAGUCUUUCACAUUUGCUACGGUUUCGUUGGUGAUUUUGGUGUUUGUAUUCUCAUUCUGGGGUAAGUUGAACAGAAGUUUCUAAAUUGACCAAUUUAUAUUUCAUGAGAUUAUUAUAGUUGAUAAGUUUGCAAUUGUGUUUCAACGAACGGAGAGUUUUAACAGAGGUACUCAAAUUUUAUAACAAAUAAUUGUGUUUUACAGGAUUGAAAUACUCUUUUAAGCACAAGGACAGGAUAACACUCCAGUUUGGUGAAAAACUCAAUGCCACCUGUUCAGACGAAGGAGGAGUGAAGUGGAGCAUUCCUCCUGAUAGUUCGGUAUUAAUCGAAAAAAUUUCAGUGUUUGAAGAAAGUGUUGUAUCCAAUGGAUCAGUUCCAUUUGAUACUGGCCGUUACAUAUGCGAAUCGAAAUCCAACCCGGGGGAACGAGCUUGGUUUUCUAUCUAUGUUGAAAGUAAUGGCUAUGUCCGAAUAAAAAAACCAUAGACAUCGAACAUUCUACGGUCGUGUAAUCAUCCAUUUGUUUACUUACUUACCUACGUGUACUCAAAUAGAGAUUAAGUUGUGUACAUAAAUUUUAAGCUACGUUUUUAAAAAUAAAAAAUGAAAUUAGGCCUCUGUUACGUAUAUUUAAAGAUCUCAGCAAAUGUAUAAUGAGUAUUGUAUGAGAAUGUAAAUGUAAAUUUUACCUAUACAAUUGUAACUUGUCCCCACGUGUACGGUGUAUUAUGGUUUGACCGAAAAAUUAGACUAAAAUGUAGUUGGGUGUUAGAAAAUGGAAAAAGUAAUCCCGAUCCAUUAAGUCAAAGUGAUUCAUUCAAAUCAUACUUUAGGAAAGAGAUAUGUAUCGUUUAUUAUGUUAGUCACUGCAGUGUGAGAAGACAUCCGAUUAAUUAUUUUGAUGAGCAAGUUGUAUCGAUAACUUUUAACCCCCUUCAUAAAAAAAAUGUCAUUUAAAUAUUUCUCAACUUCUAUGUAUUGUAUUUUGAUGUUUUUUCCUUUAUUCAUGAACAUUUUAUUUUCUGAAGAAGUCUGGCUCUGUUCAGACAGCGAUAUUUUAUUUAAUCUGAAAGUUAUUUUUUCUUGCAUGUAACACUGCCUAAUACAAAUAUUUAUGACACGUUUGGAGUCCGUUAAUUUGUGAAUGAUUUGAUUUAUAAUGCAUGCAUGAAGAAUUUUUAGAGAAAAUCUUUGAAAAGACAGAAACUUUUUUGAAUUCUUGUUGAAAUAUAUACUGAUAUUCUAUCUUGAAUCUUGAUACACUACCAAUUUUAAUAGAUGUACCUACUUAUAUUUUAUGAGAUUAUUACGGUUUAUAGGUGUGCAAUUAUUGUCUUUUAACAAUGGACAAGUUUUAAUAGAUGUACCUAUAAAUUUUAUUAGAUAUGAUUAUAUGUAUGUUUUACAGGAUUGAAAUAUUCGUUCAAGAACAGGACCCAUCUAGGUGUCCAGUUGGGUCAAAAAUUCAAUUUCAGCUGUUCUGACCAAGCUGGAGUGCAGUGGACAAUUCCACUUGAAAGUUCGGCAUCAAUUAAUACCAUAUCUGUUUACGAAGAAAGUGUCUUGUCCAACGGUACAAUUAUUACGGAUAAUGGCGAUUACAUAUGCCGUUCCAAAGCCAACCCGAAAGAAUUCGUUUGGUUUAACCUCCACAUUGAAGAACCAUAGACAUCAAACAUUCUACAGUCACGUAAUCAUCCAUCCAUCUGAUUAUAUGUGUACUCAAAUAAAGAUUAAGUUGUUUAUAUCGAUUUCUAGCAAUGUUUUUUUUUUUUUGUGAGGUUAGUCAUCAUAGUAAUAAAUUUGUGUUCAAAUCAAUUGAUAAGUAAUGUACUUACCUGCAUUAUUUUUUUAUUAAAAUAAAAAUGUCAUCGCGUGUA